UCUGGUGGUUUGAGCGGGACGGAACCACCCGUUACCAUCCCGAACACGGAAGUGAAACAUCCCAGCACUGACGAUACUGUGCUCGCAAGGGUAUGGGAAAAUAGGUC
RNAcentral lists this ribosomal RNA (107 nucleotides) under Rickettsiales bacterium. The record is from RNAcentral. Lineage: Bacteria; Pseudomonadati; Pseudomonadota; Alphaproteobacteria; Rickettsiales.